GACGAACGCUGGCGGCGUGCUUAACACAUGCAAGUCGAACGGAAAGGCCCUGCUUUUGUGGGGUGCUCGAGUGGCGAACGGGUGAGUAACACGUGAGUAACCUGCCCUUGACUUUGGGAUAACUUCAGGAAACUGGGGCUAAUACCGGAUAGGAGCUCCUGCUGCAUGGUGGGGGUUGGAAAGUUUCGGCGGUUGGGGAUGGACUCGCGGCUUAUCAGCUUGUUGGUGGGGUAGUGGCUUACCAAGGCUUUGACGGGUAGCCGGCCUGGGAGGGUGACCGGCCACAUUGGGACUGAGAUACGGCCCAGACUCCUACGGGAGGCAGCAGUGGGGAAUAUUGCACAAUGGGCGGAAGCCGGAUGCAGCAACGCCGCGUGCGGGAUGACGGCCUUCGGGUUGUAAACCGCUUUCGCCUGUGACGAAGCGUGAGUGACGGUAAUGGGUAAAGAAGCACCGGCUAACUACGUG
RNAcentral lists this ribosomal RNA (468 nucleotides) under uncultured bacterium. Its description in RNAcentral is "partial 16S ribosomal RNA". It matches the Rfam family "Bacterial small subunit ribosomal RNA", at positions 28 to 507 of the family's 1533-position model. The record is from RNAcentral.